Molecule: non-coding RNA, 683 nt
Organism: Schizosaccharomyces pombe (fission yeast)
Lineage: Eukaryota; Fungi; Ascomycota; Schizosaccharomycetes; Schizosaccharomycetales; Schizosaccharomycetaceae
Source: the annotation of a GenBank genome assembly
CACAAGUUUUUUGUAAUCCUGGUCGAUGUGCUGUCGUCGAGAGCGUUACCAUCGCUGCUAUAUACAUCAGUUUAAUUAGCAACACUUUUGAUGGCUACACUGAUUUUAUAGAUUAAAAAAAACUGUAAUAAAUCACCAAACCUUUUAAAAAUUACUUGCCCAUUCUUUCAAAAUACAAAAUACAAAAUUGACUUGAAGAGCCUAUGAUCUGAUUUUUUCAACUUGUACGACCUCUACCUUGUCAUCUUUCUUUUGAUACUUUAUACAUAAUGGCAAACAGAAUGCACAAAUGAAUGCGGAGGUUCAAUUCCUUCUUUUUCUCUCUCACACUUAACACUCAGUAUUUUAGUAAAUCAUGAAGACAAAUCUUUGAUGAAUGCCUGUUCAAACUCUUUAGUAGUGUAUAUAGUCACAGGAUCCAUUAACUCCUAUCACAAAAUGAGUCGUCGCAAAUUGGAAUAAUAAUGAUAUUGUGGUUUUUUUAGUCCAGAGACUUGAAUACAGCCUACAAUUUUGGAUUCUCUGAAGGAGAUCGUUAAUUUAUUAUGACCAAACCCAGAAUAAAACUCUCUAUGCAUUAACAAACUAGCAAAUAAAUGCUUAAUUAAACACACUUACAUAUCCGUGUAUAUGUGUUACAAUAAUCAAAGGAUGAUCAUCGACUACAAAGAUAUAAUAUAAAC